Non-coding RNA from Triticum urartu, 126 nucleotides. The record is from Rfam. Lineage: Eukaryota; Viridiplantae; Streptophyta; Magnoliopsida; Poales; Poaceae.
CUAGUACUCCCUCCGUCCCAAAAAAGUUGUCUCUCAAAUGGAUGUAUCUAGCACCAAGUUAGUGCUAGAUACAUCCAUUUAAGGAACAAGGUUGGGGUAAGUUUUUUCGGACGGAGGGAGUACUAA